This 322-nucleotide long non-coding RNA is filed under the name Bos taurus (domestic cattle). RNAcentral describes it as "long non-coding RNA NONBTAT017388". Lineage: Eukaryota; Metazoa; Chordata; Mammalia; Artiodactyla; Bovidae. The record is from RNAcentral.
GUAUAGACAGUGACCAUUAAGAAAACUGAAGGAGAAAGUGAAGGACGCAAAACGAGUUCUAGUCCACUGUUACUUGUUUCCACGCACAGAUUCGUUCAUUGAUGGAGAUUACAGAAAGUGAAUGGAGUAGAAUCAUUUCUGGUGGGUCUACACAAAGGUGGACUGUCAUCUACUUACUGUUUUGUAGGUAGAUGUGGCUCUCUAAGUGUUAUAAAAGCCUGAGCAAUCAUUAUCCUUCUUGCUGAAUCCAGUGAUGACAACAUAUUGCAUCAGCCAAAUACACUGACAAAGUCAAAAAUAAAUAAAAUGGAAAGUUGCUUGA